RNAcentral lists this long non-coding RNA (1359 nucleotides) under Malus domestica (apple). RNAcentral's name for it is "long non-coding RNA (MDOM_LNC021158)". Lineage: Eukaryota; Viridiplantae; Streptophyta; Magnoliopsida; Rosales; Rosaceae. The record is from RNAcentral.
AUUAAUAAAUUAAGAAUAAAAUAAUUUUAAUUUUUUUAUAAACCACAAUAGGGAUAGGCAAUGGUUACGACAGAUGAGAUAUGCGAAUACGGGAAUCUGUUCAGAGUAUACAACUAAUCAAUGAUACUAUGAAAGGAAUAUUAUAUAACAAUGAGAGUUUGAAACUUACGACUUAACAAUUUCGUAAAUAUUUUAAACAUUGACUUCAAUAUAAGAAAACAAAUUGAGCAAGUUCUCAUUUUCUAAGAGUUGGCGUCCUUAUGUAACGGGAUGUGUUUAAAGGACGUAAAGUUUCACGUCGAAUCUCAGUGAAUCACAUACAACGUAUAAUGCGUGGAAAAAUAACAUACGAUAUAUAGUUAGUGGUUUCAUUUUGAGUAGACAUCUCUACUCCAAAAUCAUUUAUCAUAUUCAUUGAAUACUGUGCCGGAAUAACAACAUUUAACGAUGAUAUCUUCGACUAGAGGCCCCUGGGCACAGUGGCGGAGCCAAAUAGAGGAUGGCCCAGGCCUACCCUGAAAAUUUAGAGUAUGUAGAUACUCUCUGCAAGAUUUUACAAACAUGAGCACGUGGCUCAUUGGCUACUGGGAUUUUGCAAAUACAAAUGACUGGGUUCGAGACUUCUUGGCAUUCCAGCAUUUAUUUUUAUUUUUUUUAAAACUGAAAGAAAAAAAAGUUCUUAUAAUUUGCCUUAUUUUUUACUAUAUUAAAACUAAGCCUUGUUUUUUAACAUAUAAAAACCAUACUCUCUUUUUUGGCUAGUCGAUAUUAAAAAAAUGCAUAUAUAGUCUAGGGCAAAAUCUAAUUUUAAGUCGUAAUUUUCAAUUUUUGUACAAUUCUAAUGUGUUAAUUUUGUUUUAAUCAAAGUUGGUAAACAAGUUUUGUUUUUAUGAUAUAUUCAUUUCAAUACUAGGUUUUUCAUAGAAAAUUUAAAGCUCCACCAUUCUUAUUUGAUUAAAAUUUUUCAUGUCAAUACAAAACACAAAACCUUUAUUUUUUCUCUCAUUAAUUAUAUUUCGAAGGCUAAUCUUUCUAUGGCUUAAAGGCCUUACUGAUCUGGUUUUCUGGCUCUGUGACACGCCCUGAUUCCGAUAUUUCCAGAAUACCAGGAUUGACACGUGCUGGCCGACACCCAAGGGUGACGAAAGCCAUUUAUUGAGUGCAAAUGCUAAAAAUAAGGGGUAGAUAAGACUUAUAAAUAUAAAAGAAUAAUGGAAAUGCAUUUAAGGAACGUGUUCAGAGCAUACAACUAACUAGAAUACUAAAAGAAAUAAUAUAAAAUUGAAUGAAUAAAAGAAUGGGACCUACACCAAAAGGACUCGAAGAUGCCGAUGCGGAAGUGCCUUGACACCGGGAUUG